GGUCAGACUGCGGCCUGAUUGGAACGCUGGCGGGAUGCUUUACACAUGCAAGUCGAACGGCAGCACGGACUUCGGCCCGGUGGGCGAGUGGCGAACGGGUGAGUAAUGUAUCGGAACGUGCCUAGUAGCGGGGGAUAAUCACGCGAAAGCGCAGCUAAUACUGCACAUUGCUCCUUCGGGGGAAAGCGGGGACCUUCGGGUCUUCGCACUAUUAGAGCGGCCGAUAUCGGAUUUUCGGGCUGCACAGUAACGGCUCACCAGUGGCGGUCGAUCCAGCUGGUUUGAGAGGACGACCACACACUGGGACCAGACAUUCUGGUGGAUCUACGGAGGGAGGUGGCAGUGGGGAAUUUUGAUAAAUGGGGAAACUGAUCCGCAGCCAUAAUUCCAGGCGUGUGACAAGGCCAUAUUAGUAAAAGCACUUUUGGCAGGGAAAGAAACGGCACGGGAUAAUACCCGUGCAACUGACGGUACCUGCAGAAUAAGCACCGGCUAACCACGCCAGCAGCCGCGGUAAUACGUAGGGUGCGCGUUAAUCGGAAUUACUGGGCGUAAAGUGGCAGGCGGUUCGGAAAGAAAGGAUGAAAUCCAGAGCUUAACUUUGGAACUGCAUUUUUAACUACCGAGCCGGAGUGCCAGAGAGAAAUCGCGGGGUGUAGUGGAAAUGCAGAUAUGCGGAGGAAACACCGACAGAAGAAGGCAGCCUCCUGGGAUAACACUGACGCUCAGUGCAAUAUGUGGGGAGAAACAGAUUAGAUAUACUCCUGGUAGUCCACGCCUCAAACGAUGUCAACUUAGCUGUUGGGGCCUUCGGGCCUCGGUGGGGCAGCUAACGCGUGAAGUUGACCGCCUGGGGAGUACGGUCGCAAGAUUAAAACUCAAAGGAAUUGACGGGGAUCUGCACAGCGGGGAUGAUGUGGAUUAUCUGAUGCAACGCGAAAAACCCAUCACCUUGACAUGUCUGAAUCCCGGAAGAGAUUUGGGGAGUGCUCGCAAGAGAACCGGAACACAGGUGCUGCAUGGCUGUCGUCAGCUCGUACGUGAGAUGCCAGUUAAGUCCCGCAACGAGCGCAACCUCUUUCUAUUAUUAGUUGCUGCCGAAAGGGCACUCUCAAUGAGAUCACGGUGACAAACCGGAGAAGGUGGGAUGACGUCAGUCCUCAUGGCCCUUAUGGGUAGGGCUUCACACGUCAUACAAUGGUCGGGACAGAGGGUCGCCAACCCGCGAGGGGAGCCAAUCCCAGAAACCCGAUUCUAGUCUGAUCGCAGCUCGUAACCUGACUGCGUGAAGUCGGAAUCGCUAGUAAUCGCGGAUCAGCAUGUCGCGGUGAAUACGUUCCCGGGUCUUGUACACACCGCCCGUCACACCUUGAGUGGGUUUUACCAGAAGUAGUUAGCCCAACCGUAAGGAGGGCGAUUACCACGGUAUUCAUGACUGGUGAAGUCGUACUGCUGGUAA
Molecule: ribosomal RNA, 1459 nt
Filed under: uncultured Bordetella sp.
Lineage: Bacteria; Pseudomonadati; Pseudomonadota; Betaproteobacteria; Burkholderiales; Alcaligenaceae
Description: partial 16S-23S ribosomal RNA intergenic spacer
Rfam family: Bacterial small subunit ribosomal RNA
Source: RNAcentral